GCGCUCUGGCGCUGCUCCCGAGCAAGCAGGCAGCGGAAGGCAACUGCGGGUGUGCUCGUAUUCUGCAAAAAAGGCUCCUUAAAUUCGUAUAAAUGAAGGUGUUGGGACUUUUAAGAGGGACUGGACUAUGGAGUAGUGUAGCAGUGAAUGAAAUAAGUAACCGAAGCUAUUUGUGUUCAGUGAUUAUGUGUACAGAGGGUUGCAACUUUACAAUACAAUGUGUCCACAUUUUACUGGGAAUCUCAUCAAAUUCGGGGAUGUUUAACAUUCAAGCAUUUGUGUGGAGAUAUCUUAAUUUUAAAGGUUUCUGCAGAUCUCCUUAUCUAGGCCUUUUUCUACAACCAUUUUACCCAACUUGGAACGUUCCAGAAAUUUUAAACUACAACCCACAGCAUUCUUGGCUCUGCUUAUGGCUGGAGCUGAAGGAAGUUGGAAUCCUAAAACAUCUGGACAGCGCUAAUUUGUGUAAUUUAUACUCCCUUGCCACUUGUCCCUUCUCUGCUCUUUGUAAUGCUGCAGCCAAAUUUGUGUGCUGCCUUUUUUACUUAUAUGAGGUCUCCCAUUGUGGUUCUCUGUAUUUUUUAAACAUUGCUUUUAAUUCUCUAGCCAUACAUGGGGAGAGCAUUGGGCCCUUGCUAUUUUGGACAGGAUUUUGAAACUAGUCUUUCUAUGAUGAAACUUUACACAGACCUGUACUGAAAUGUUCUGUGUGGACGUCCGUUAGUUUCUGAGAAAAUUGCUGCCUUCUGUAUUUUGUCGAAUGCUUUUACAUUCAAGCUCUGGUUGCUGAUGACUGUUCUAACUUCUUCUUCAGAUCUGCAAGAUGCCUGCCUUUUUCUUUACAGGUGAGAUAGAGAUUUAUCUGAGCUGUUACCUCAUCUUUCUAGCUUGCUGGGUUGGGUGUUAAGUUUCUGGUGUAUGGGAAGUCUUUUUCCAAAAAGUUGCAAGCUUCGGCUUGACUCAUGGAGCAGAAGACGUCAUCUUGACAAGAAUUCUGUGCAAUUUGAAUGCUUGUUAUUUCACCCCCGUAAUUGUUCAUUAAAAGGAUGUUGGAGAAUCUGCAGUCAUUGUAACUCCUUGAGAGAGGUGUCUUGUUCAUUCGCCGUUGUGACUUUUGGUAUUAAAAAAAAGAGUGCUUGGUAUUGGUGUAAUGAUUGUUGUCUCGUGCCUUGAACAUCCAUGUUUGCAAAUCUUCAGGUUACUUCUGCAAUCUUGGAUAUGAGUCGUCAUGAUUCUAAUGAAACGGACCCCAGUUCCAUAGGUUGUCUAGUUUGGUUAGAGCAGCCAGGGUUUAGUGUUCCAGAUCUGGGUUGCAAAAAUUACUUCUGAGGUUGGUAGUCAAACUGUACCAGCUAAAAGAAUAAUGAAAGUGUCUAAGUCCUGGCAGAUUACUUCUCUUACUGGCUCAGCUUAACCUUCUGGAAUCUUACCUUUUCAGCAAUGGGUGGAAUCAUGCCACAGGAUCCUGUCUAUCUUGCAGAGGGAUUUUUGGAGCCUCAUGGCAGUUAUGCAUGGAUCACUUCAGAUUUGUGGAUGAAAUGGAGUGGAAGAUAACUGUGGUUAUCUUCUUGAACUUGGUUACCUUCAAGCUGAGAAGAUGGCUUUAUUUUUUUUCCUAAUGGUGAUGGAGUUGUCCAGGACGUGUCUGUCGAGGUUGCUCCUUCCUUCAUGAGGACCGGCGCUUUGUGAAGUCCCUUAGAGGGGAUAUUCUCAGGGCCAGAACUGUUGCUGAAGCAUCUUUCCGAGGAAGUGAGACAAACUUGGCCCGGCUGUUCGGAGGAAGAAGGGACGGUGAGCUGUGAAUGCCGAGCUUCCGCUUGCGAGAAAGACUCGACCGGCGAUUGAACGGCUGAAGCAAGACAGAAAUUUGAACAGCACCCUGAGCAGAGUGAAAACGGAUCAUGCGGGGUUUCUGCUGUUCCCUUCAAUGAUCACACCGCACUCCUGUUUGGACCAGUGCAAGGCCCUCUGUAUCCAGCAGGUAAACGACAGCUGCCGACACCUGUUAUCAGCAAGGUAUCGACAUGGUUGGCUAUUUUGGCCCUUCCAUUCCUUUGGAAGGAGAGUUCAUAGCCCUGAAGUCUAGAACAUCAUGUGGGAGAAGAUAAUCCUCAGAUUCCUCAGAGCUUCAGGAUUAUUACACAACAAACAUGAGGCAGACUUUGGACGUGAAAAUGCUAUUUACUGACCUUCAUCAGUACUUGAGAACUAAGAUAACUUUUUAAGUAUUCCACGGUAGUGGAAUUUGGGACUGAUUCCUCAAAGAUACAAAUGCUACAUGAAGCUUUGAACCUUUGUAAAGCGGUCCAAAUCUUUCCCCAGAAAUACCAUUUUCAAACUCGUUCAGAAACAUUGAGAAUGUUUAAUAAAAAGUGGUUGGAAGUC
Molecule: long non-coding RNA, 2385 nt
Organism: Varanus komodoensis (Komodo dragon)
Lineage: Eukaryota; Metazoa; Chordata; Lepidosauria; Squamata; Varanidae
Exons: 9
Source: RefSeq, a predicted model, not a curated record